UCUUUAGUUCAGUUCGAGUUCGGCGUGCAGCCGGUUCGUAUCCGUGUGCUUUGCGUUCGAUUUCCGCCCGAUCGGCGCUCAUCUCGUCUCCGCGACUCGUGUCGAUACGUUGUCGAUCUGCACAGUGAUUUCGCGUCUUCCUCCAAUUUGGAACGCGGUCACCGGGACGAAUUUCCGAAACUUGGUACAUACUUCGUUUUGCAGGGAACUCGCGAGAAUCGAUUAAUCAGGUGUCGAACGUUGAUCGAUAUAAUCGUGCGAAAGUAAGAAAGUAAUAAAGUGAACGAUCAUGGUGUGACUCGGGUGACUGGAUUGAUCUUUUCGGAAAGAUCGACGAAGUUGAUCGGUGGUUGUGUGGUGAUUGGUUUUGGUGGUGGUGCUUGAUACGCUCUUGGGAGUCGGAAGCCCGUUGGCACCUGGGCCUCGUUUACGUCGGUUUACUCAUGCUGGGAGUUCUGAAGCGGCGCUGGAAGCCAUCGAAAAG
Frieseomelitta varia is the source of this 484-nucleotide long non-coding RNA. RefSeq lists it as uncharacterized. NCBI's taxonomy places the organism in Eukaryota, Metazoa, Arthropoda, Insecta, Hymenoptera, Apidae. The transcript is spliced from 2 exons. The record is from RefSeq and is a predicted model, not a curated record.